This 253-nucleotide ribosomal RNA is filed under the name uncultured bacterium. Its description in RNAcentral is "partial 16S ribosomal RNA". It matches the Rfam family "Bacterial small subunit ribosomal RNA", at positions 524 to 776 of the family's 1533-position model. The record is from RNAcentral.
UACGUAGGGUGCGAGCGUUGUCCGGAAUUAUUGGGCGUAAAGAGCGUGUAGGCGGCCAGACAGGUCCGUUGUGAAAACUCGAGGCUCAACCUCGAGACGCCGAUGGAAACCGUCUGGCUAGAGUCCGGAAGAGGAGAGUGGAAUUCCUGGUGUAGCGGUGAAAUUCGUAGAUAUUGGGAAGAACACCGGUGGCGAAGGCGGCGACCUGGUCCGUGACUGACGCUGAGACGCGAAAGCGUGGGGAGCGAACAGG